CCGCCCCGGAGCGGCGCUGGCUCUGAGUAGGACAGAAAGCAGGCAGGAUGAACCCCAGGUGCCCAUCGGGGUUCUCCUUGCGUGUUUGUCCCUGAAAGGCGGAAGCCGAUGGGAUCCCGGGAGGAUUUCAGUGAGUCGCAUGGCCUUCGGGCUCCAGAUGGCGGAGUGACCAUGAAUCACGCGGGAUGCACAGAGCUUUCUAGGUCUUCCAGGCCCGGCGAGGGACGCCUUCCUUGUUAGGAAGUGGGAGGCAAGCAGAAGAGGGCUUCUGUUUCAAGCUUCUUAAAGCCCCCCUGCUCUGGUCCUACUUUACAGCAUCAGAGCUGACCUGGGGGAAGAGGGGACAGAAGAAACAGGGUGUCAUGUGCCUGCAGGCAAAUAUGCUUCCAGCCGCUCCAUUUUCCUGAUUCGCUCAUCCUUGGAAAAUCAUGUACCGAGAGCUUUCCUGCCCUGAGCACCUUCCCUGCCAAGGUCUCCCUCAUCCUUCCUGGACCAGUAUCAACACUCCUCUCCCUCUCUGGGGAUUUCUGCAAGAGCGGGCUUCUAAUCCCUCUUGGCAUUAGGACUCCGUCUCUUGCUGUGGGCCCUGCACCAGUGAACACACUCAGCCCAAGUGACCCUGGGACAGACCUCAGCAUAAACACGGUCCCACAUGAAUCAAGCUUCUGGGACUGGAGAGAUUCCACAUGUAAACAGGAAGAGGAGGAGAUACUUACGAAAGCAAGAAAUGGCUUGACAGAUAGGUGUGCGGGUUUUUAGAACAUAAAGGCCAUUGAGAACUGAGGAUGGCUGGUAAAAAUGGCAGCUUCUGGGAACCCUUGGAAUUGGUCUCUUCUCUGAAGAAUCUUAAGGAUCUGAGGGGAAGCAGCAGUUGAGAUGAUGUCAGAGGUGCACCUGAGUUUCUUCUGUCUUGAAAUAUGUUUUGAAGAUAAGAACGUGGAUCCUAAUAAACAAAA
Long non-coding RNA from Suricata suricatta (meerkat), 956 nucleotides. RefSeq lists it as uncharacterized. NCBI's taxonomy places the organism in Eukaryota, Metazoa, Chordata, Mammalia, Carnivora, Herpestidae. The transcript has 5 exons. The record is from RefSeq and is a predicted model, not a curated record.